RNAcentral lists this ribosomal RNA (254 nucleotides) under uncultured prokaryote. Its description in RNAcentral is "partial 16S ribosomal RNA". It matches the Rfam family "Bacterial small subunit ribosomal RNA", at positions 525 to 777 of the family's 1533-position model. The record is from RNAcentral.
ACAGAGGGUGCGAGCGCUGUUCGGAAUUACUGGGCGUAAAGCGCGCGCAGGCGGCUCUUUAAGUCUACCCGUGAAAUGCCGGGGCUCAACCCCGUGCCCGCCACAGAUACUGGGAGGCUGGAGACGAGUAGAGGCAAGCGGAAUUCCGGAUGUAGCGGUGGAAUGCGUAGAGAUCCGGAAGAACACCGGAGGCGAAGGCGGCUUGCUGGGCUCGGUCUGACGCUGAGGCGCGAAAGCGUGGGGAGCGAACAGGA